This 233-nucleotide ribosomal RNA is filed under the name uncultured bacterium. Its description in RNAcentral is "partial 16S ribosomal RNA". It matches the Rfam family "Bacterial small subunit ribosomal RNA", at positions 794 to 1025 of the family's 1533-position model. The record is from RNAcentral.
UCCACGCCCUAAACGAUGAAUGUUAGUCGUCGGGAUGCAAGUCAUUUCGGUGAUGCAGUUAACACAUUAAACAUUCCGCCUGGGGAGUACGGUCGCAAGAUUAAAACUCAAAGGAAUAGACGGGGACCCGCACAAGUGGUGGAGCAUGUGGUUUAAUUCGAAGAUACGCGAAGAACCUUACCUAGCCUUGACAUUGAUAGAAUCCCGUAGAGAUACAGGAGUGCCCUUCGGGG